RNAcentral lists this transfer RNA (72 nucleotides) under Flavobacteriaceae bacterium. Its description in RNAcentral is "tRNA-Thr". It matches the Rfam family "tRNA". From Rfam's summary of the family: Transfer RNA (tRNA) molecules are approximately 80 nucleotides in length. RNAcentral also lists the same sequence under 1 other name. Lineage: Bacteria; Pseudomonadati; Bacteroidota; Flavobacteriia; Flavobacteriales; Flavobacteriaceae. The record is from RNAcentral.
GCCGGUGUAGCUCAGGGGUAGAGCGUUUCCUUGGUAAGGAAGAGGUCUUGGGUUCAAAUCCCAACAUUGGCU